UUGAAGGGCUCAUGUUUGUAAGAGGAAGUUGUGUAGAGCAAAGCAACUUUACUGGUCCGUGGUUGGCUGAGGAUCAGGAAGGGAUAAGAAAGUAGAGGGAGACAAAAACAAACGAGAGAGAGAGA
Molecule: long non-coding RNA, 125 nt
Organism: Poecilia latipinna (sailfin molly)
Lineage: Eukaryota; Metazoa; Chordata; Actinopteri; Cyprinodontiformes; Poeciliidae
Exons: 3
Source: RefSeq, a predicted model, not a curated record